CCUACGGGUGGCUGCAGUGGGGAAUAUUGCACAAUGGGCGCAAGCCUGAUGCAGCCAUGCCGCGUGUGUGAAGAAGGCCUUCGGGUUGUAAAGCACUUUCAGCGGGGAGGAAGGCGUUAAGGUUAAUAACCUUGGCGAUUGACGUUACCCGCAGAAGAAGCACCGGCUAACUCCGUGCCAGCAGCCGCGGUAAUACGGAGGGUGCAAGCGUUAAUCGGAAUUACUGGGCGUAAAGCGCACGCAGGCGGUCUGUCAAGUCGGAUGUGAAAUCCCCGGGCUCAACCUGGGAACUGCAUUCGAAACUGGCAGGCUAGAGUCUUGUAGAGGGGGGUAGAAUUCCAGGUGGAGCGGUGAAAUGCGUAGAGAUCUGGAGGAAUACCGGUGGCGAAGGCGGCCCCCUGGACAAAGACUGACGCUCAGGUGCGAAAGCGUGGGGAGCAAACAGGAUUAGAUACCCGAGUAGUC
Molecule: ribosomal RNA, 465 nt
Filed under: uncultured Klebsiella sp.
Lineage: Bacteria; Pseudomonadati; Pseudomonadota; Gammaproteobacteria; Enterobacterales; Enterobacteriaceae
Description: bacterial SSU rRNA
Rfam family: Bacterial small subunit ribosomal RNA
Source: RNAcentral